RNAcentral lists this ribosomal RNA (250 nucleotides) under uncultured prokaryote. RNAcentral's name for it is "partial 16S ribosomal RNA". It matches the Rfam family "Bacterial small subunit ribosomal RNA", at positions 524 to 773 of the family's 1533-position model. The record is from RNAcentral.
UACGGAAGGUCCGGGCGUUAUCCGGAUUUAUUGGGUUUAAAGGGAGCGCAGGCCGGAGAUUAAGCGUGACGUGAAAUGCCGCGGCUCAACCGUGGAAGUGCGUCGCGAACUGGUUUCCUUGGGUGUAUUCGACGCCGGCGGAAUUCGUGGUGUAGCGGUGGAAUGCUUAGAUAUCACGAAGAACCCCGAUUGCGAAGGCAGCCGGCGAGGCUACAACUGACGCUAAAGCUCGAAGGUGCGGGUAUCGAAC